Molecule: ribosomal RNA, 1055 nt
Filed under: Plagiorchioidea sp. Type VIII RS-2020
Lineage: Eukaryota; Metazoa; Platyhelminthes; Trematoda; Plagiorchiida
Description: SSU rRNA
Source: RNAcentral
AUACAUGCCACUAUGCCCUGACCCGCAAGGGAACGGGUGGAUUUAUUAGAACAGAACCAACCGGUUGUGGUUUCGGCCGCGGCUGUUGCAUUCUGUGAUGACUCUGGAUAACUUCACUGAUCGCAGUCGGCCUUGUGUCGGCGACGGAUCUUUCAAAUGUCUGCCUUAUCAAUUUUCGAUGGUAGGUGAUCUGCCUACCAUGGUGAUAACGGGUAACGGGGAAUCAGGGUUCGAUUCCGGAGAGGGAGCCUGAGAAACGGCUACCACUUCCAAGGAAGGCAGCAGGCGCGCAAAUUACCCAAUCCCGGCACGGGGAGGUAGUGACGAAAAAUACGGAUACGGGACUCGUAUGAGGCUCCGUAAUUCGAAUGAGUACAAUUUAAAUCCUUUAACGAGGAUCAACUGGAGGGCAAGUCUGGUGCCAGCAGCCGCGGUAACUCCAGCUCCAGAAGCGUAUAUUAAAGUUGUUGCAGUUAAAAAGCUCGUAGUUGGAUCUGGGUCGUAUGGCUAUGUACUGUUGCUUGUUACAUUGGCUUGGUUUCGAUCAGGUCCAGUGUUGCGAGUCGGUGUCGUGGCUGUACAGCCUUUCUGCCGUAUCUGUUUUGGACAGGUGCCGGCCUAAUUGGUGAGCUUGUCUUGCUGGUUGGCUGGCAUGCUCCCAGAUGCCUUUGAACGGGUGUCGGGUGCGUAUGGUUCUUUUACUUUGAACAAAUUUGAGUGCUCAAAGCAGGCUUUUGCCUGAAAAUUCUUGCAUGGAAUAAUGGAAUAGGACUUCGGUUCUAUUUUGUUGGUUUUCGGAUCCGAAGUAAUGGUUAAGAGGGACAGACGGGGGCAUUUGUAUGGCGGUGUUAGAGGUGAAAUUCUUGGAUCACCGCCAGACAAACUACAGCGAAAGCAUUUGCCAAGGAUGUUUUCAUUGAUCUGGAGCGAAAGUCAGAGGUUCGAAGACGAUCAGAUACCGUCCUAGUUCUGACCAUAAACGAUGCCAACUGACGAUYCGUGGCGGCACAAUUAAUGGCUCCACGGGCAGUCCCCGGGAAACCUUUAAGUCUUGG